RNAcentral lists this long non-coding RNA (337 nucleotides) under Homo sapiens (human). RNAcentral's name for it is "HSALNT0130203". Lineage: Eukaryota; Metazoa; Chordata; Mammalia; Primates; Hominidae. The record is from RNAcentral.
CAGGUCAUAGCCUAGAGAAGAGAAAAACAAGCCCAAAGCAAAAAGGGGAUCCCAUCAAACUGUAUCAUGAGACCACAUAGCAGGACAUGUAAUAUGGUAUAGACACAGAGCAAAAUGUAGCAAAUUAGCUUAUCACAUUCUCACAUGAGUCUAUUUGUGGCUUCUUUGGACUGGCCUCAACCUGCUAUUCUAGAGAUACUUAGCUAAUUCCAGAGCUUAAGUCUCUGGUCUUAAGGUUCUUGGGAAAUGUAUAUAAAUUCCAUCUCUUCACCUCUUUAAAGUGGUAAUGUAUCCACUGCACUAGGUGUGUGGUUUGCCAGACUAGGACAAAUCCCUG